CCUACGGGUGGCUGCAGUGAGGAAUAUUGGUCAAUGGACGAGAGUCUGAACCAGCCAAGUAGCGUGAAGGAUGACUGCCCUAUGGGUUGUAAACUUCUUUUAUAUGGGAAUAAAAUGGUCCACGUGUGGGAUUUUGUAUGUACCAUAUGAAUAAGGAUCGGCUAACUCCGUGCCAGCAGCCGCGGUAAUACGGUGGAUCCGAGCGUUAUCCGGAUUUAUUGGGUUUAAAGGGAGCGUAGGUGGAUUGUUAAGUCAGUUGUGAAAGUUUGGGGCUCAACCGUAAAAUUGCAGUUGAAACUGGCAGUCUGGAGGACAGUAGAGGUGGGCGGAAUGCGUGGUGUAGCGGUGAAAUGCUUAGAUAUCACGAAGAACCCCGAUUGCGAAGGCAGUUCACUGGACUGUAACUGACACUGAGGCUCGAAAGUGUGGGUAUCGAACAGGAUUAGAUACCCGGGUAGUC
RNAcentral lists this ribosomal RNA (460 nucleotides) under uncultured bacterium. RNAcentral's name for it is "partial 16S ribosomal RNA". It matches the Rfam family "Bacterial small subunit ribosomal RNA", at positions 338 to 795 of the family's 1533-position model. The record is from RNAcentral.